This 270-nucleotide ribosomal RNA is filed under the name uncultured archaeon. Its description in RNAcentral is "partial 16S ribosomal RNA". It matches the Rfam family "Archaeal small subunit ribosomal RNA", at positions 477 to 747 of the family's 1478-position model. The record is from RNAcentral.
CUGCAGCCCGAGUGGUGAUCGAUUUUAUUGAGCCUAAAGCGUCCGUAGCCGGACUAGUAAACCCUUGGGUAAAUUGGGCAGCUUAACUGUCCAGAUUCCGAGGGGACUGCUAGUCUUGGGACCGGGAGAGGUCAGAGGUACUCAAGGGGUAGGGGCUAAAUCCUGUAAUCCUUUGGGGACCACCAGUGGCGAAGGCGUCUGACUAGAACGGAUCCGACGGUAAGGGACGAAACCCUGGGGCGCGAACCGGAUUAGAUACCCGAGUAGUCC